GGAAAGAAAACGGGACUUUAGUGAAACUGACAAAGACGAGAGUUUUUGCACAUCGGGCUGAUACACAGGUGAAAAAAGUGAACAGGUGAAACUAAUGAGGAUGGUGGAGAUCAUUACAAAGGAGAGAAAAGAAAAACAGCACUACAGAGAAAGGAUCCAGACUCCAGUGACCCUGAAUUGACUGAGAUGAAUUGACAUGACAGCAUACAUUUCACAGACAGAAAAACAGUUCCUUAUGCGAGAACCAGGGGGCAUGGUGCAUCCACAGGAAUGUCAAUGAUGGAGCCGUGUGUCGCCUUAUGCUGCAGGGGAGCAGCGUCCUCGAAUCAUGAUGAGGAGUAGAGUGCAGGAGAGUGCUUUCUAAUGACAAUACGACUCGGCCGCGGCACAAAGACAGACGCUGCUCCCUGGCUCUCCACUGCAAGAAAUAAAGAAUAAACUCAAUGUGCUUUUAAACUUUGAAGCCAGAUAUUUGCCAACGGCUCUAACCUGAAAAUCUCUGAAUACUGCAUGAGA
Molecule: long non-coding RNA, 516 nt
Organism: Oreochromis aureus
Lineage: Eukaryota; Metazoa; Chordata; Actinopteri; Cichliformes; Cichlidae
Exons: 3
Source: RefSeq, a predicted model, not a curated record